UACGUAGGGGGCAAGCGUUAUCCGGAUUUACUGGGUGUAAAGGGAGCGUAGACGGCAAGGCAAGUCUGAUGUGAAAACCCAGGGCUUAACCCUGGGACUGCAUUGGAAACUGUCUGGCUCGAGUGCCGGAGAGGUAAGCGGAAUUCCUGGUGUAGCGGUGAAAUGCGUAGAUAUUAGGAAGAACACCAGUGGCGAAGGCGGCUUACUGGACGGUAACUGACGUUGAGGCUCGAAAGCGUGGGGAGCAAACAGG
RNAcentral lists this ribosomal RNA (253 nucleotides) under Fusicatenibacter saccharivorans. RNAcentral describes it as "partial 16S ribosomal RNA". It matches the Rfam family "Bacterial small subunit ribosomal RNA", at positions 524 to 776 of the family's 1533-position model. The record is from RNAcentral. Lineage: Bacteria; Bacillati; Bacillota; Clostridia; Lachnospirales; Lachnospiraceae.